GAUGAACGCUGGCGGCGUGCCUAAUACAUGCAAGUCGAGCGAACAGACGAGGAGCUUGCUCCUCUGACGUUAGCGGCGGACGGGUGAGUAACACGUGGAUAACCUACCUAUAAGACUGGGAUAACUUCGGGAAACCGGAGCUAAUACCGGAUAAUAUAUUGAACCGCAUGGUUCAAUAGUGAAAGACGGUUUUGCUGUCACUUAUAGAUGGAUCCGCGCCGCAUUAGCUAGUUGGUAAGGUAACGGCUUACCAAGGCAACGAUGCGUAGCCGACCUGAGAGGGUGAUCGGCCACACUGGAACUGAGACACGGUCCAGACUCCUACGGGAGGCAGCAGUAGGGAAUCUUCCGCAAUGGGCGAAAGCCAGACGGAGCAACGCCGCGUGAGAGAUGAAGGUCUUCGGAUCGUAAAACUCUGUUAUUAGGGAAGAACAAAUGUGUAAGUAACUAUGCACGUCUUGACGGUACCUAAUCAGAAAGCCACGGCUAACUACGUG
RNAcentral lists this ribosomal RNA (497 nucleotides) under uncultured bacterium. RNAcentral describes it as "partial 16S ribosomal RNA". It matches the Rfam family "Bacterial small subunit ribosomal RNA", at positions 28 to 507 of the family's 1533-position model. The record is from RNAcentral.